GCCAGGCACUGUGGUGCAUGCCUGUAAUCCCAGCUGCUCGGGAGGCUGAGGCAGGAGGAUUGGGAAUUUAAAGCCAGACUCAUCAAAAAGCUAGGUAGUAAGCAACACAGUGAGAUCCUGUCUCUA
Molecule: small RNA, 126 nt
Filed under: Marmota monax (woodchuck)
Lineage: Eukaryota; Metazoa; Chordata; Mammalia; Rodentia; Sciuridae
Source: RNAcentral